AACAGAACCAUACCACCAAUCAAAACUAUAUGCUAACUGUCAAUCAUAUUUGAUGAUAGUGCUCUUGACAGAAAUAGUGUUUAAUAAAAUUUGAUAUCUUGUAUAUUUUUAAUACAGAUCCAGUCCAACAGAGGGUAGCCAGCAAUAUGAAGCCAAAAAAAAGUAUGAGUGUCCAGAAUGCUGUUGGAGAGUGAGGCAAAACAACUUUGACUACUCCAAGGUUUUGAAAAGAAGAGUGAGAGAGGGAACAGAGGAGGUCCUCAUUUGUUGGGUUCCAUGCAAGACCUGUGGGACCAAAUGGAAAGACUCCUGGGAGCCCUCCUCCCUUCUUGAAUAAUGAAUUACAUUUUUAUUUUUAUUUUGUAUUUUCUUUUAUAAUGAAUAAAAUAACU
Long non-coding RNA from Carassius auratus (goldfish), 392 nucleotides. RefSeq lists it as uncharacterized. The transcript has 4 exons. The record is from RefSeq and is a predicted model, not a curated record. NCBI's taxonomy places the organism in Eukaryota, Metazoa, Chordata, Actinopteri, Cypriniformes, Cyprinidae.